AAAAUAGUGAUUCACGCUUGUGAAGAUUAUUUUGCAAUAAAAAAUGAAAAAGAAGACCCAAAAUUUUAUCGGUUUAAUUCCUUUGAUCCUUAAAUACGAAGAAGGUAUGGAAUCCACACGCAUCAAACUGGCAAAUUGCAGCUUUAAAUUCUAGUCUUCCUUCGAGGUUCAGGAGAAACUCUUGGCUGGAGGCUGGAGUUCUGCUCACAAAUACCUUGAUAUGCAUCGUUG
This 231-nucleotide unclassified non-coding RNA is filed under the name Hevea brasiliensis (rubber tree). Lineage: Eukaryota; Viridiplantae; Streptophyta; Magnoliopsida; Malpighiales; Euphorbiaceae. The record is from RNAcentral.